Molecule: long non-coding RNA, 505 nt
Filed under: Phoenix dactylifera (date palm)
Lineage: Eukaryota; Viridiplantae; Streptophyta; Magnoliopsida; Arecales; Arecaceae
Description: long non-coding RNA (PDAC_LNC002148)
Source: RNAcentral
GUUUAAGGAGGGUUCUGAAAUAUAUAUUAACUAUUGUUGGAUCAAUUUGGGUUAGCCUAGAUUGGGAAUUUAAUGAUCAUUCAAUCCAUAUUAGAAAUAAGUCAUGUUUUUGACUUCAAGCUUAAUUCACAUACAAUUGAGUUGGAUUGGAGCCGAUUAAUAUUGGGUUGUUUCUAGAUUGGAAUGGGAUCAAUUUAAUCCACUUUGCAGGCCUUUUACCACCUCCAUGACUUUACUAACUAUAAAUAAAGGGUAAAUUAUGCAUUUGGUCCUCCAAGUUUAGGUUGGGUUAAGUUUCUAAACUUCAAAAAGCUCAAAUUUGGUUCCUAUUUUUUCUCAACUGUUUUAAUAUAGUCUUUUCCUCGGAUUCUAACCAUUUUCUCUCAUCAGAAGUCCCCACCGGCAUUAUUCGGUGUUUAUGUGGCUGAUUACAUAGCAAAAACUGCUUAAAUAGAUGAUUAUGUGACCAAUUGGUGAUGAUGUGGUAUGUGGGUGAUGCUGCGGU